This 468-nucleotide ribosomal RNA is filed under the name uncultured bacterium. RNAcentral describes it as "partial 16S ribosomal RNA". It matches the Rfam family "Bacterial small subunit ribosomal RNA", at positions 28 to 507 of the family's 1533-position model. The record is from RNAcentral.
GGCGAACGCUGGCGGCGUGCUUAACACAUGCAAGUCGAACGGAAAGGCCCUGCUUUUGUGGGGUGCUCGAGUGGCGAACGGGUGAGUAACACGUGAGUAACCUGCCCUUGACUUUGGGAUAACUUCAGGAAACUGGGGCUAAUACCGGAUAGGAGCUCCUGCUGCAUAGUGGGGGUUGGAAAGUUUCGGCGGUUGGGGAUGGACUGGCGGCUUAUCAGCUUGUUGGUGGGGUAGUGGCUUACCAAGGCUUUGACGGGUAGCCGGCCUGGGAGGGUGAACGGCCACAUGGGGACUGCGAGACGGCCCAGACUCCUAUCGGAGGCAGUAGUGGGGAAUAUUGCACAAUGGGCGGAAGCGUGAGGCAGCAACGCCGCGUGCGUGAUGACGGCCUUCGGGUUAUAAACCGCUUUCGCCGGUGACGAAGCGUGAGUGACGGUAAUGGGUAAAGAAGCACCGGCUAACUACGUG